RNAcentral lists this long non-coding RNA (594 nucleotides) under Glycine max (soybean). Its description in RNAcentral is "long non-coding RNA (GMAX_LNC002422)". Lineage: Eukaryota; Viridiplantae; Streptophyta; Magnoliopsida; Fabales; Fabaceae. The record is from RNAcentral.
ACAGAAACCACCAAGCCCACCAAAGGUUAAGCCUCCACAUCCACCAAAACCACCAAAGGUUGAGCCUCCUCAUCCACCAAAACCACCGAAGAAACCACCAUGCCCACCAAAGGUUAAGCCUCCACAUCCACCAAAACCACCAAAGGUUGAGCCUCCUCAUCCACCAAAACCACCGAAGAAACCACCAAGCCCACCAAAGGUUGUGCCUCCACUUCCACCAAAACCACCAAAGAAUCCUCCUCCUCUUCCACCAAAACCACCAAAGGAGCCACCAACACCACCAAAGGAGCCUCCUCCAACACCGCCAAAGAAGCCAUGUCCACCAAUCUUCAAGAAACCACUUCCACCAAUCCCUAAGUUGCCACCACUUCCUCCAGUUCCAAUCUACAAGAAGCCACUUCCACCUCUUCCUCCACUCCCUAAGUUGCCACCACUUCAUCCAGUUCCAAUCUACAAGAAGCCACUUCCACCUCUUCCUCCACUCCCUAAGUUUCCACCACUUCAUCCAGUUCCAAUCUACAAGAAGCCACUUCCACCUCUUCCUCCACUCCCUAAGUUUCCAACACUUCAUCCAGUUCCAAUCUACAAGAAGNN